GGUUUUAUAGUUGAUUACAACAGUAAAUUGCAGCUUUACAAGAGUAGCGAAAGUUACUAAAACUU
This 65-nucleotide transfer RNA is filed under the name Hanleyella oldroydi. RNAcentral describes it as "tRNA-Cys". Lineage: Eukaryota; Metazoa; Mollusca; Polyplacophora; Lepidopleurida; Lepidopleuridae. The record is from RNAcentral.